CCACUUGGAGAUGAAGAGAUGAUUGGGUAUAUUCUUAAUGGUCUUGAUUCUGAUUAUGAUCCCUUAGUCUCAGCUAUUGUAACUAGGGUAGAACCCAUCAGCUUGUCUGAAUUGUACUCCCAAUUAACUAGUUUUGAGA
Molecule: small nucleolar RNA, 139 nt
Filed under: Setaria italica (foxtail millet)
Lineage: Eukaryota; Viridiplantae; Streptophyta; Magnoliopsida; Poales; Poaceae
Also listed under: 1 other name
Description: Small nucleolar RNA Z247
Rfam family: Small nucleolar RNA Z247
About the family: Z247 is a member of the C/D class of snoRNA which contain the C (UGAUGA) and D (CUGA) box motifs. Most of the members of the box C/D family function in directing site-specific 2'-O-methylation of substrate RNAs.
Source: Rfam by way of RNAcentral